This 826-nucleotide ribosomal RNA is filed under the name Salmonella enterica subsp. enterica. Its description in RNAcentral is "partial 23S ribosomal RNA". It matches the Rfam family "Bacterial large subunit ribosomal RNA", at positions 530 to 1269 of the family's 2925-position model. The record is from RNAcentral. Lineage: Bacteria; Pseudomonadati; Pseudomonadota; Gammaproteobacteria; Enterobacterales; Enterobacteriaceae.
CGAGGGGAGUGAAAAAGAACCUGAAACCGUGUACGUACAAGCAGUGGGAGCACAGGUUUACCUGUGUGACUGCGUACCUUUUGUAUAAUGGGUCAGCGACUUAUAUUCUGUAGCAAGGUUAACCGAAUAGGGGAGCCGGAGGGAAACCGAGUCUUAAUUGGGCGUUAAGUUGCAGGGUAUAGACCCGAAACCCGGUGAUCUAGCCAUGGGCAGGUUGAAGGUUGGGUAACACUAACUGGAGGACCGAACCGACUAAUGUUGAAAAAUUAGCGGAUGACCUGUGGCUGGGGGUGAAAGGCCAAUCAAACCGGGAGAUAGCUGGUUCUCCCCGAAAGCUAUUUAGGUAGCGCCUCGUGAAUUCAUCUCCGGGGGUAGAGCACUGUUUCGGCUAGGGGGCCAUCCCGGCUUACCAACCCGAUGCAAACUGCGAAUACCGGAGAAUGUUAUCACGGGAGACACACGGCGGGUGCUAACGUCCGUCGUGAAGAGGGAAACAACCCAGACCGCCAGCUAAGGUCCCAAAGUCAUGGUUAAGUGGGAAACGAUGUGGGAAGGCCCAGACAGCCAGGAUGUUGGCUUAGAAGCAGCCAUCAUUUAAAGAAAGCGUAAUAGCUCACUGGUCGAGUCGGCCUGCGCGGAAGAUGUAACGGGGCUAAACCAUGCACCGAAGCUGCGGCAGCGAACGUAUCACCCAAGACAACUUUACGGAGUUGACGAUUGACGGAGCGAAGCGACGUCAAAGCGUUCAUUAAAGUCGAGUUGGCUUAGGGAUACGUUCGUUGGGUAGGGGAGCGUUCUGUAAGCCUGUGAAGGUGUGUCGUGAGGC